Molecule: unclassified non-coding RNA, 240 nt
Filed under: soil metagenome
Description: partial contains 5.8S ribosomal RNA, internal transcribed spacer 2, and large subunit ribosomal RNA
Source: RNAcentral
AACUGAUACUACCUGCGGGAACCUGCGGAAGGAUCAUUACUGAGUGAGGGCCCUCUGGGUCCAACCUCCCACCCGUGUCUCUUGUACCAUGUUGCUUCGGCGAGCCCGCCUCACGGCCGCCGGGGGGCAUCUGCCCCCGGGCCCGCGCCCGCCGAAGCCCCCUCUGAACGCUGUCUGAAGAUUGCAGUCUGAGCGAUAAGCAAAAAUUAUUUAAAACUUUCAACAACGGAUCUCUAGAUC